UUCCACAGUCUGCAGAAUAUAAAAUAAAUGUCUUGAAUAAGCUACGAAGACCAAGGCACUUUUCGGAGCAGAUUUUUUUGUCUUAAAGUUUUAUCUCAUGCAAACACUGCGUAUAACACAAACUUAUAUAAUCAAUGCUUUUAGCAAAAUGUCAUAGUAGAACCAAGGCCCAGUUGUUAGCUGAAAUCUAUAUAAAUAUAGGCAGGAGUAGGGCUGAUUGGAGCCAUUGUACAGUGUCGGGAACAUACCAGGACACUGAGAAUAGUGUCAUGUCAUAAGGACCCAGAGCAGAUGGACCCUGCUGUGAUGCACAAAGAGGACCACGCAAGAUAUGAUAAAGAUCUACAUCACUGAAUUUUGGUUCCAUUUUUGUAUCUCAGCUUCCAGGAAAUAAAAAAGAAUUCUAACAUUCAUACUUUCAGUAUUUUAUGUGAGAGGUUUUGUUGUCAAAAUCAAGUCUGAGAGCAAUGUUUGUUGGGGCCUUUAAUUGGAGUCACCAAGCGAUAAAGGGGACAUUGUCCUCAACAAUAACCCUAUAAUAAACACGUUUUGGACAAUAAAUAUAUGACAAUUUCUUAAAAGCAAUUUCUUGGGCAAUCAAGACAGUAUGGCUUGAGUAUGGAGUUAUACGAUGGUUUGGAUUAAUCCAGUAUUAAAUCUUUGGUUAUUACAGAAAUCAAUGGAGCCUAUUCUUCCAAAUAAUCCUUAAAUAUUACUUAUCUCAACUGAGAUUUUGGUGAAAAUUUAGCUUUAGAGCUUUUAUUGACCUGCCAAUGACCUGAAGUUAAGAUUAUUCUUUUCUACUGAAUGAAGACAAACUACCUUAUAAAAAUUAACCCAGA
Molecule: long non-coding RNA, 842 nt
Filed under: Homo sapiens (human)
Lineage: Eukaryota; Metazoa; Chordata; Mammalia; Primates; Hominidae
Description: non-protein coding lnc-FOXD4L5-25:13
Source: RNAcentral